GUCUCGACAUCCACCAUGAAGAUCUCACUCUCCAUAUUCCUGCUACUGAUCAGCUUCAUCAGUGUGAAAUGUGAAAGUCUCGAGUCAUUACAAACCACAGUGCUAAAGAAACCUGGAGAAACACUGAGUCUCUCCUGCAGAGGAUCUGGGUUUACUUUUGGAAGCUAUAACAUGCACUGGAUCAGACAGCAGGAGAACAAACCACUGCAACACAGACCAAGAGCUUUUACUGAUUCUGCUUCAACACACACCAUGAUCUCUACAUCACUACUGCUGCUGCUGCUGGCAGCCGUACACUGUGGUCUCUGUGUUGAGCUGAUCCAGACCAGAUCCACAGUAUUAACCCCUGGUCAGUCACUGACUCUGACCUGUAAAGUGUCUGGAUAUUCAGUAACUGAUAGCAGCUACUGUACAGGUGGGAUACGACAACCUGCAGGAAAAACUCUGGAAUGGAUCGGAUACAUAUGUGGUAGCGGUAACACUUACUACAGUGAGAAACUGAAAAGUAGGUUUCAGGUUACCAGAGACACGUCCAGCAGCACAGUAACAUUAACAGGACAGAACAUGCAGACUGAAGACACAGCUGUGUAUUACUGCGCUCGUGACACACAGUGAUACACA
Non-coding RNA from Silurus meridionalis, 621 nucleotides. The record is from the annotation of a RefSeq genome assembly. Lineage: Eukaryota; Metazoa; Chordata; Actinopteri; Siluriformes; Siluridae.